GGAUUUAUACAGUUGUUCCUGGAAUUGGUUUUGAAAGCACUAGACAAUAAAAACUUGAUUGCAGGACUGCAGCUGCUUGUCCUGGAGGGAAUGAAAUCACUCUCUGUUUUUGUAAAGGUGGCUAACCUGAAGGUAGAAGCCACUGCUUGGAAUAUUUUGCAAAUUCACAAUUCUGUUUGUUGAUUCCAUAUUAAACAGAAUAACCAAGCAUGCUGAAGGGAAAAAAAAAAUCAGCGUUCUAAUUAAGGAGCACCUGCCCUUGGAACAGAUUAUGCUCCGAGCCACAUUGGACAAGGACUUAUUGGA
Nothoprocta perdicaria is the source of this 306-nucleotide long non-coding RNA. RefSeq lists it as uncharacterized. The transcript is spliced from 2 exons. The record is from RefSeq and is a predicted model, not a curated record. Lineage: Eukaryota; Metazoa; Chordata; Aves; Tinamiformes; Tinamidae.